CCUACGGGAGGCAGCAGUGGGGAAUAUUGGGCAAUGGAGGCAACUCUGACCCAGCAACGCCGCGUGAAUGAUGAAGGUCUUCUGAUUGUAAAGCUCUUUUCUAAGGGAAGAAGAAAGUGACGGUACCUUAGGAAUAAGCCGCGGCUAACAACGUGCCAGCAGCCGCGGUAAUACGGAGGAUGCGAGCGUUAUCCGGAUUUAUUGGGUUAAAAGGGUGCGUAGGCGGAAUAUCAAGUCAGCGGUAAAAAUGCGGGGCUCAACCCCGUCGUGCCGUUGAAACUGAUGUUCUUGAGUGGGCGAGAAGUAUGCGGAAUGCGUGGUGUAGCGGUGAAAUGCAUAGAUAUCACGCAGAACUCCGAUUGCGAAGGCAGCAUACCGGCGCCCAACUGACGCUGAAGCACGAAAGCGUGGGUAUCGAACAGGAUUAGAUACCCUAGUAGUC
RNAcentral lists this ribosomal RNA (442 nucleotides) under uncultured bacterium. RNAcentral's name for it is "partial 16S ribosomal RNA". It matches the Rfam family "Bacterial small subunit ribosomal RNA", at positions 338 to 795 of the family's 1533-position model. The record is from RNAcentral.